CGUGGCGUGGGGCUGCUCGGCCUCUCAGCGGCCAUGACGGUGUGGUGUGUAGGUUCCUAUCGUUAUUGCUUCCGUUGUUGGCCUGGGGCGCCGCGGAUGACCCUACAUAGCCCUUGGCCGGCCACCGGGAAGAUUGCGUCUCGUACUGACGAUCGUAACAAAGACGCACCGUGCUUUCCUUCUGAGGGUUUAGUCGCCCUAAUACGUGCAGCAGACUAGUCAUGUGGAAGUUUGUCUGCUGAAAGUAAGCGCCCUCCCGGGAGGAUGUGUUGAACUUUUGGGAAGGUUGGUGACUAAACUCUGCUUGUGCUAACUGCCCAGCAAUGACUCAGUUGAGAUCCAGAAGCCAGGAAGAAGGAAGGGGGCCUACUUAUUGGCCAAGAUGGCUGAUCGGGAUGAGUGCAGAUAUGAUUUUAGGCCGUGGGCCUGAGGUAUGUCCUCUGACCUCACCAGUGUCCUACAGAACUCCCCAUAUGGCUUUGGGCAGCUCUGAACUUAACUCUGGUAGCCAGCCUAUGUCUUAAGUUAUGGACUGGAUUUGGGUUGGCCUGGGUUUGACUGGUCUGUGUGUGGUAGUGGCACUGGAGAUGGGGAACCUCUAAAACUCAACAUCUCUACCUGACUGUACACGGUCUUAAAAGAUAUAAUUAUGAGUUGGGGGGGGGGGUUGGGGAUUUAGCUCAGUGGUAGAGCGCUUGCCUGGCAAGGCCCUGGGUUCAGUCCCCAGCUCCGAAAAAAAAGAAAAAAUGAGUUGGGGGGGGUGAUAGUGGUCCCUCCCUAUAGUUGAAGGCCAGCCUGGUCUACAAAGCAAGUUCCAGGGUGGCCAGAACUAUUAAACAAAUAAACCCUGUCUUGAAAAACUAAGAAGGAGAAAGAGUGAUCUAGGAGGGGAACUGGCUGUAGUAGAUGCUGUGACAUAAAUAAACUUGUCAAUUUUUA
RNAcentral lists this small RNA (939 nucleotides) under Rattus norvegicus (Norway rat). RNAcentral describes it as "small nucleolar RNA host gene 7 (Snhg7)". The stretch from base 670 to 726 matches the Rfam family "tRNA". The record is from RNAcentral. Lineage: Eukaryota; Metazoa; Chordata; Mammalia; Rodentia; Muridae.